AGCAGCCGCGGUAAUUCCAGCUCCAAUAGCGUAUAUUAAAGUUGUUGCAGUUAAAAAGCUCGUAGUUGAAUUUCGGGGUUAGUAAGUUGGUCAUGCCUUUGGUAUGCACUGGCUUUACUGAUUCCUCCUUCUUGACGAACCGUGAUGUCAUUAAUUUGGUGUUGCGGGAAAUCAGGACUGUUACUUUGAAAAAAUUAGAGUGUUUAAAGCAGGCUAACGCUUGAAUACAUUAGCAUGGAAUAAUGAAAUAGGACGUUAAUCCUAUUUUGUUGGUUUCUAGGAUCGACGUAAUGAUUAAUAGGGAUAGUUGGGAGCAUUAGUAUUCAAUUGUCAGAGGUGAAAUUCUUGGAUUUAUUGAAGACUAACUACUGCGAAAGCAUUUGCCAAGGAUGUUUUCAUUAAUCAAGAACGAAAGUUAGGGGAUCGAAGACGAUCAGAUACCGUCGUAGUCUUAACCAUAAACUAUGCCGACUAGGGAUCGGAUGAUGUUAAUUCUUUAAUGACUCA
This 507-nucleotide ribosomal RNA is filed under the name uncultured fungus. Its description in RNAcentral is "SSU rRNA". It matches the Rfam family "Eukaryotic small subunit ribosomal RNA", at positions 569 to 1078 of the family's 1831-position model. Lineage: Eukaryota; Fungi. The record is from RNAcentral.